GACCAGACUCCUACGGGAGGCAGCGGUGGGGAAUAUUGCACAAUGGGGGAAACCCUGAUGCAGCAACGCCGCGUGGGUGAAGGAGCGUUUCGGCGCGUAAAGCCCUGUCAGCGGGGAAGAAGAAAGACGGUACCCGACCAAGAAGCCCCGGCUAACUACGUGCCAGCAGCCGCGGUAAUACGUAGGGGGCAAGCGUUAUCCGGAUUUACUGGGUGUAAAGGGAGCGCAGACGGCAGUGCAAGUCUGGAGUGAAAGCCCGGGGCCCAACCCCGGAACUGCUCUGGAAACUGUGCGGCUAGAGUGCUGGAGGGGCAGGCGGAAUUCCUAGUGUAGCGGUGAAAUGCGUAGAUAUUAGGAGGAACGCCAGUGGCGAAGGCGGCCUGCUGGACAGUAACUGACGUUGAGGCUCGAAAGCGUGGGGAGCAAACAGGAUUAGAUACCCCUGUAU
This 448-nucleotide ribosomal RNA is filed under the name uncultured bacterium. RNAcentral's name for it is "partial 16S ribosomal RNA". It matches the Rfam family "Bacterial small subunit ribosomal RNA", at positions 329 to 793 of the family's 1533-position model. The record is from RNAcentral.